RNAcentral lists this long non-coding RNA (549 nucleotides) under Junco hyemalis (dark-eyed junco). Its description in RNAcentral is "lncRNA (ENSJHYG00000011542.1)". The record is from RNAcentral. Lineage: Eukaryota; Metazoa; Chordata; Aves; Passeriformes; Passerellidae.
UGCGCCCUCACGGCCCAGGACUACAUCUCCCAUGAGACCUCGCGGCCGCCCCUUUCACGGCGCUCCCUGAGCCAACAUGGCAGCGAAGCUGCGUGUGGUGAGUGGGCCCAGCCGCCAUCGGCCGCCAUCCGCGGGCACGUUUCAGAGCAUGACACCGUGUCAAGAAGAGGUAGAAGCACUGCCCUGGCUGGGGAGCUGAUUUACCCACAGUGCACCUUCACAAUGGAGGAAACGGUCCUGCAGAAUCCUGGGGCUGCUGUUGCCCAAGGACAGCUUUGGCCAGAGGGCAGCUGCUGUGUUUGGCUUCAGGCUGGUAAGAGAAUUGCAUUCUUCAGUGUUGUGUGUUGUUUAUUUUUAAUUGAUUAAUUACAUGCCAGGCCUGCAGAGCCUAAUCUCUGAAGGUUUACCAGGAAAAAUCCCAGGGAGAACAGCUGUGUAUCUGCACUGUGUGUGUGGUUUUGGGGAACAUGAGGGGUUUGUGCUGCCAGGGCUGGGACAGACACUGAGCCUGUGAUGUGCUGUUAUCCCUGUCUGACACUCAGCUUGAGG